RNAcentral lists this transfer RNA (72 nucleotides) under Heterocephalus glaber (naked mole-rat). It matches the Rfam family "tRNA". From Rfam's summary of the family: Transfer RNA (tRNA) molecules are approximately 80 nucleotides in length. Their secondary structure includes four short double-helical elements and three loops (D, anti-codon, and T loops). Lineage: Eukaryota; Metazoa; Chordata; Mammalia; Rodentia; Bathyergidae. The record is from Rfam by way of RNAcentral.
GGGGAUGUCGCUCAAUAAUAGAGCACAUACCUAGCAUGCAUGAGGCCCUGGGUUCCAUCCUCAGUACCACCA